CUCUACGUCGACGCGGAAAUAUUUCGCCGAGGCCGAAGCCAUGGACGUCGAUGCUAUGUAGAUGCCAGUUCCAGCAGAAAUUUGAGCGGCUGCUUUCAGCAGUCGGGAAACAAAAAAAAAAUUAACACGGGCGUCCUCUACACGGACCUCCUGAAAGACAGACGCAGACCUACCUCAGCAUAGUUUGUUGAGCUACCACGGCUGGUCUAUUUGUCGCUCUUGCAUGGUGCCUGGAUAACUGACGAGAAGGAAAAGGUUGGAAGCCGCAUGUGGGCUAAGUUUUGCAGUUUAUGAUCUCAGAGCACAUAGUUUACGCUGUAUUAUCUGCCGAAAAAAAUAUUACGUCCAUAUCUUGACGACCGUUUGUUAUUUAAACGCUAUCAAACCUAAAUAAAUAAAUAAAUAAAUAAAUAAAUAAAUAAAUAAAUAAA
Molecule: long non-coding RNA, 431 nt
Organism: Rhipicephalus sanguineus (brown dog tick)
Lineage: Eukaryota; Metazoa; Arthropoda; Arachnida; Ixodida; Ixodidae
Exons: 3
Source: RefSeq, a predicted model, not a curated record